Molecule: long non-coding RNA, 652 nt
Organism: Xiphophorus hellerii (green swordtail)
Lineage: Eukaryota; Metazoa; Chordata; Actinopteri; Cyprinodontiformes; Poeciliidae
Exons: 3
Source: RefSeq, a predicted model, not a curated record
CAAAAUAAAAAUAUGUUUGAUGUGAGUGGGGGGAAAAAUCAGCUCUUUCUAACAUGUCCAGCUCAGUUUUGAGUGCUUGUUGCAGCUUCCUGGUGCUCAGUGUCAUGUUUCUUUAAUUGCCUGGUGUUUUGUGUUUAGCAGAUGAAAAGAGUCAAUGCAGGACAUCCUUGUCAAACUGGCUGCUGAAGUUUGGUGAAAAGAUUUACUACGACAGGCUUUCUCGUGCCUUGCAGCACAUCGGCAGAACAGACAUUGCCCUAGAAGUGGGGAAGAACAUCAACCAGGAUAAAAUCUUAAACUUGAAGCGUUACGUUGAGGACUACCAAAAACAUGCCAACUCUCUAACCGACCUGCCCACAAAGCCAGAUCAACACGGGCACAAUCAGGAAGGCCGAAGGAUAAAGAUUGAGGACGUGUCGUGGCGUGACCUGGAUCUGAUCAUGAAGCGAGCGCCGGUCCCCGUGUAUCCGAGGGGGAUUCUGGAUGUGGCGCUGCCUGUUUUGUAUGGCAUCCUGCUCAGCUUGGUCACCUGUGCAGGUUUCCUCCUCAUCCUUGUUCUUGUUUCUCGGGAAUCAGGUUGAUCAUUUUAGGAUGUUUCCAGAACAAUAAAAUGUUUCUGGUUGAGUGUCUGCAAAUAAAUACACAAAAUCUU